RNAcentral lists this transfer RNA (63 nucleotides) under Adelges tsugae (hemlock woolly adelgid). RNAcentral describes it as "tRNA-His". Lineage: Eukaryota; Metazoa; Arthropoda; Insecta; Hemiptera; Adelgidae. The record is from RNAcentral.
AUUUAAAUAGUUUAAUUUAAAAUAUUAAUUUGUGGAAUUAAAGAUUAUUUUAAUAUUUAAAUA